Molecule: ribosomal RNA, 492 nt
Filed under: uncultured bacterium
Lineage: Bacteria
Description: partial 16S ribosomal RNA
Rfam family: Bacterial small subunit ribosomal RNA
Source: RNAcentral
AGUGAACGCUGGCGGUAGGCCUAGCACAUGCAAGUCGAACGGCAGCACAGUAAGAGCUUGCUCUUACGGGUGGCGAGUGGCGGACGGGUGAGGAAUACAUCGGAAUCUACUUUUUCGUGGGGGAUAACGUAGGGAAACUUACGCUAAUACCGCAUACGACCUACGGGUGAAAGCAGGGGAUCUUCGGACCUUGCGCGAUUGAAUGAGCCGAUGUCGGAUUAGCUAGUUGGCGGGGUAAAGGCCCACCAAGACGACGAUCCGUAGCUGGUCUGAGAGGAUGAUCAGCCACACUGGAACUGAGACACGGUCCAGACUCCUACGGGAGGCAGCAGUGGGGAAUAUUGGACAAUGGGCGCAAGCCUGAUCCAGCCAUACCGCGUGGGUGAAGAAGGCCUUCGGGUUGUAAAGCCCUUUUGUUGGGAAAGAAAAGCAGCAGGUUAAUACCCCGCUGUUCUGACGGUACCCAAAGAAUAAGCACCGGCUAACUUCGUG